GUCGAUCAGCCGCAGCAACAUUUUUCUCUUUCCGCUCUCUUCUCCGCCUUCAGAAAGAAAGAGUGAAGGAUGAUCCGAGAGAGAGGAAGAACAGGGAACGGGAAGACGAAGAAGAAUUUGAUGCACCGAGUUGAGAUUUCAUGCAAAAAAGUGUGGGCUUCAUUGUCUUGCUGCUGUUCCGUUUGUUGCUUUGUACUGUCUACGUUUCUUAUUCAGGAUACAUGAUCAAAUCAUGGCAAGAACAGCUGUGAUGCCUAAACAAGGGACAAGCAGGAGAAGUCUACAGUUGCGAGCAGAUAAAAGUGUUAGUAAUUCUGAUUGUGUGCAAUAUGUGUCAGAACAAAGUCAUAAAAACAAGCGGAGAAAACCUACAUCUGCUAUAAAUUUCAACUGUGGUGCAAGUACGUCCAGCAAUCUGGAAGUCGAAAUAGCUGCUUCACACGGAAAUAGUGUUGGACAAGCAUCAUAUCAAAGAAGAAAAGGUGGCCCUGCAAAGUAGACUUUUGGGAUUUUGGGGUUUUCAGCAAGACGACGCAAUCUCUCACUAGCUCUCCCUUUUUAACUCUACAAUUGUGCAUAUAUGGCCAUGACUGCUCAGACCCAGGAAUAGCUCCUUGCCGCCCAUCUCAAAUAGCAAACCAUCGAUGUGAUGCUUUUAUCAGGGUAUUUUGUGAGCAAGCUUUUGAAUCUGCCAUCACAUUAUGCAGCUGGUUUGAUAUUGGUUGCGUGCUGCGCGGUGGGAUAUGCAGCUCUGGAGUUUGCCAAGUAGGGGGUUAAGCCAGGCGAACUAGCAGUAAUUUCCAAAGAGGCGGUAUGGUAAAUUUCACUUUGUUUAUAUCUAGUUGAUUGUGGAUUUUGAGAUAUUUUAUUCCAUUAGUUCUCAAUUUUUUGAAGAGUACAUCAGAAAAUAGUUUAUAUGCAUGAUGACUGCCCACUUUUUACAUUAUUGAAGAUAUAACUUUCAUCAUUUAUGUGGAUGCCGUGCUUACUGAUUGUACUUUCUGUACAGACUAAUCACUAUACUUUAUAUUAUAGCUGCUGUUUCAAAUCUUUUUAUUUAUAAUGGCUGUUGGUAUGUUGUUUUUAUAAAUAAAAAAAAUUAUGAAUCGAUUCUUGUGUAACUGGAUGAGCUGUGAAUUUAUUCGAGAUGCGAUUUAGCCGAUUUGAUUUUUAAGUUCAUGUGCACUGCAACCAUAAUCCUUUUAGGCUGAUUGGACUUGGGUUAUCUAUUUGGAAAUUUGCCACAGCCGGGUGUGGUAGUAUGCUGGUUGGAGUCGGUGAGGCAUCUUUGAUAAGUCUUGCAGCUCCGUUCAUUGAUGACCAUGCCCCUGCAGAUCAGGUUGAGAUUGAAGUGUAAAGCUUGGAGCAGCUCAAGUCAAGUAAGCUCAGAGAUCAUUCUGAAAAAGAAGUUGGAACUAGAAGACAAGCUGUUGGAUGCUCCACCAGACACACUAGGUGCUGCUGCCUUGGCACUACACUAUGCAAGUUUGGGAGAACGUUAGUGGCAAAGUUUCUCUCGAUCGCUACUAUUUGAUUGUAUCAGCUUUUGCUAUCUUUCAAUGUAAUUAGCUAGAAUGCAGCAGCCAUCAAGCUAGCUAGAAUGCCUUUUGGAUACAUGAAUGUAUAGACGAUUGACAAAUGCUAGUUUUUUUUGUAGUUGACAUA
This is a long non-coding RNA of Rosa chinensis, 1665 nucleotides long. RefSeq lists it as uncharacterized. The record is from RefSeq and is a predicted model, not a curated record. Lineage: Eukaryota; Viridiplantae; Streptophyta; Magnoliopsida; Rosales; Rosaceae. The transcript is spliced from 8 exons.